Non-coding RNA from Rhamnusium bicolor, 75 nucleotides. The record is from the annotation of a GenBank genome assembly. Lineage: Eukaryota; Metazoa; Arthropoda; Insecta; Coleoptera; Cerambycidae.
UGUGCCUUGUGGUCGAGUGGUAAGGACACUUGCCUCUCACGCUGGAGUCCCGGGUUCGAAUGCCGGUCAAUAUAU